Non-coding RNA from Malus domestica (apple), 1933 nucleotides. The record is from RefSeq and is a predicted model, not a curated record. Lineage: Eukaryota; Viridiplantae; Streptophyta; Magnoliopsida; Rosales; Rosaceae.
AUACAUAUAACGGCAUUUCAGCACUAGGUGAGGACAAGGCCUUUUCACUUUAUGUAUGAUUGCGAGCGAGAUUUUUAGGUUUGUGUCAGUUGGAGAAGAGGAAACUGCGAUUCAUUUCAUUUCUUGUAAAUUUGUAAAUUUGUAAUACAGAGGUGACUGGAGAGGAUGCUGCAAUGUCUCUCUCUGAAAUUAUCGUCGUCGUCGUCACCCUCCUCAGCAGCAGCAGCGGCUCCCAAUGGCAAUACUCAUUCUCAUCCGCCUCCCCCGUCGCAAGGAGGAACGAGCUCUGAGGCAUCGCCCUCCGCCACUCUCACCCACGAGUACACCCGCGCCGUCCAAAGCCAAUCCUACAAUGAAAUUUGGUCCAAGGUUCAUCAGGUCCACGACCACCACCAUGAUCCUGGUCAUGAUGAGCUGCCGCUGGAGGAGGAGGACCACGACGAAUCGGAUAAUGAAGAGAGCCGCCACCGCCGGAGUCAGAGGCAGCACCAGCUUCUGUUGGGGCGAGUGCUUCAGCCCAACCGAGAGUGCGUCCAAGAGGCGCUUCGCCUCGCCAAGCCCAACUCCCUCACUCGCCUGGUCUCCGACUACUUCGACCAGAGCGAGAACACGACCCAAGCCUGCCUGCUGCUCCUCCACCGCAGCGUCUAUCGAGCACGCGAGCUCUAUGCUCCGCUCCACCAACUCCUCGACGCCGUCGUCCACUCUGACUCUGUGGAGUCGUCACUGAGCCUCAACCUCAGCCUCAGCCAGUCCCAGUGCCGUCGGGCCUUGGACGUCUUUCUUCAGUUCGACCUCCACGACAACCCCUUCCCUUCCCCUGACGACGCCGACUCCCCCAAUUUGGACAACAUGCGCCGUUGCUUCUCCCAGCUCAAGCUCCAGCUCGACAGCCGCCUCCGCUCCUCCCGCUCCAAAAUCCGCCUCAUUCGCCGCGCCACUCUUGCCUCCGCCCUCUGCUUCAUUGGCACUGCCGUUGGAGUCGCCGUCUCUGCUGUGGCUGUCACAGUCCACGCUCUCACUGCCGCCCUCGUCGUUGUUGCAGCGCCGCCUUUGUGCUGCACUGCCACUAGCACUGGCUCUGGCUCUGGUAGAAGCACCAGUUGUUGCAAUUGCCGCACCAUGACUACCACUGAGAAGAAGGAAAUUGCCAAUAUGAAGCAACUUGAUGCUGCUGCCAUGGGUACUUGUGUCCUCGACAAUGACCUUGCCACCAUUGACCGACUCGUUCGCCGCCUCCAUGCCGCAGUGGAGGGGGACAAGCUUCUGGUUCGCCUGGGAUUGGAGAGGGGAUCUGUCAGUGGCACUGCGGUCGACAAGCAUCCAAUUCAGGAGGUGCUGAAACAGCUGCACAAGAGCCACCCCAAUUUCCUGCAACUUGUGGACGAACUUGAGGAGCAUAUAUGCCUCUGCUUUAACACCGUCAACAGGUCCAGAUCGCUGCUUUUCCAGCACAUCUAUACACUUUAAUCUCUAUCUACUGACAUUGUUAACAGAUGAGGGCAGUAAGAUGCGUGAACGAGCCCACUCAGCAGCUGAUUCCACCAGUAUAUCGUCAGCAAAUUACAAUCAGGGCUUGAGGCUUGGCUGAAUACAAGUGUGUAUCAAGAUUAUAGUCUUGUUCAGAGUAAAUAUCUUCAUUUGCAUCUGCAUUAUCAAUACCUAUGAAGGUGACAGCUUCUCAUGGAUGUAUGAUCCGGUCAUCCUUCCAGUUCCAGGUGAUAGCUUCAUAGCUGAUGACCAUCAGGGCGAUGUGCGAUGUGAAAUUGUGAAUACCAUUACUCACUCUAGCAGAGAGCUGACUUGAGAAAGAGAAUAGUUGUUUGCCUCAGAAGAGUUAAUUCAAGCUUCUUGUGUUUUGUUGAGUUGAGUUGAGUUGUUUGAAAUGUGGAUAUAUUUUACAUGUUUAUUUAUUAAGAACAUCUUUGAUCAU